Molecule: ribosomal RNA, 497 nt
Filed under: uncultured bacterium
Lineage: Bacteria
Description: partial 16S ribosomal RNA
Rfam family: Bacterial small subunit ribosomal RNA
Source: RNAcentral
GAUGAACGCUGGCGGCGUGCCUAAUACAUGCAAGUCGAGCGAACAGACGAGGAGCUUGCUCCGCUGACGUUAGCGGCGGACGGGUGAGUAACACAUGGAUAACCUACCUAUAAGACAAGGAUAACUUCCGGAUACCAAAGCUCAUACCGGACAAUAUAUUAAACCUCAUGUUUAAAUAUUCAAAGACGGUAUUUCUGCCUCUAAUUGAUGAACCCGCGCCGCAUUAACUAGUCGGUAAGGUAACGGCUUACCAAGGCGACUAUGAGUAGCCGACCUGAGAGGGUGAUCGGCCGCACGGGAGCUGAGACGAGGUCCAGACUCCUAAGGGAGGCAGCAGUAGGGAAUCUUCCGCAAUGGGCGAAAGCCUAACGGAGCAACGCCGCGUGAGUGAUGAAGGUCUUCGGAUCGUAAAACUCUGUUAUUAGGGAAGAACAAAUGUGUAAGUAACUAUGCGCGUCUUGACGGUACCUAAUCAGAAAGCCACGGCUAACUACGUG